CAGUCGCCGCGGGAAUACGUAGGGUGCAAGCGUUAAUCGGAAUUACUGGGCGUAAAGCGUGCGCAGGCGGUUAUAUAAGACAGAUGUGAAAUCCCCGGGCUCAACCUGGGAACUGCAUUUGUGACUGUAUAGCUAGAGUACGGCAGAGGGGGAUGGAAUUCCGCGUGUAGCAGUGAAAUGCGUAGAUAUGCGGAGGAACACCGAUGGCGAAGGCAAUCCCCUGGGCCUGUACUGACGCUCAUGCACGAAAGCGUGGGGAGCAAACAGGAUUAGAUACCCCGGUAGUCCCUGUCUCUUAUCA
RNAcentral lists this ribosomal RNA (301 nucleotides) under uncultured bacterium. RNAcentral describes it as "partial 16S ribosomal RNA". It matches the Rfam family "Bacterial small subunit ribosomal RNA", at positions 509 to 809 of the family's 1533-position model. The record is from RNAcentral.